GUGAGAACCAGGGAUGGCAGCCCGAGCAGCCAAACAGGCCUCAGCUUGAUGUUACAGGCUUUAAAGAUGAUGGCAGGGGGACAGGAGCCAAGGACUGAUGGUGGAUCUAGAAGCCGGAAAAGACAACCAAGCGGAUUCUCCCUAGAACCUCCAGAAGGAAAGGCAGCCUUGCUGGCUGAGCCCACUGAGACCCAUGCCAGGCUCCUGACCCCCGGAGUGCUGGCCUGCCUAUGUGAGGAGACAGCAUGUCUCUAGAAACAAGGAGAGACCAUGGGCUUGAAGCCAAGCUGAGCUGAGCUAGAUUCCUUCUUGGCCACCAGAAGACACUGUGACCUCCUAGCAAGCACUGUGACCUCUGCUGGGAAGCCUCCAGCCAUCCCUCCUCCCUACUGACCCUCCCUGGUUGUCUUUCCUCCUGCUUAUUCCAGCCAGCUCCACUCCUUCUUCUCUGGGAAGCCUUUCCAGACUCCUAAGGGUAGGCUCAGCCACUCCCUCCCCAUCUGAUUCUCCCACAGCAUCCACACUUUUCCCUGACAGCAAUCAUCACAACUAUAAUGAAGUUAGUGUAAUAAUUUGUUGACAUUUAUCUCCCUGGAGUUGCAAACCCUCAGAGAACAGGGCCGGUGUCCAUCUUGUUCACAGCUCUGUCCUCAGAUGUAAGAAGAGCCCCUGGCACACUGUGCCCAGGAAGUCUCUGCUGGCUAGGACCAACCAAAACCUGAGUCUUAAUUGCCUGCUCUAUAAAACACCUCGUUGAGCUGUUGCAAGGAUUAAAUGGUAUAAUGUUGUAAAGCAUUAAACAGGAUUACUCAUUA
Nomascus leucogenys (northern white-cheeked gibbon) is the source of this 815-nucleotide long non-coding RNA. RefSeq lists it as uncharacterized. Lineage: Eukaryota; Metazoa; Chordata; Mammalia; Primates; Hylobatidae. The record is from RefSeq and is a predicted model, not a curated record. The transcript is spliced from 2 exons.